RNAcentral lists this ribosomal RNA (805 nucleotides) under uncultured Pelagibacteraceae bacterium. RNAcentral describes it as "bacterial SSU rRNA". It matches the Rfam family "Bacterial small subunit ribosomal RNA", at positions 36 to 889 of the family's 1533-position model. The record is from RNAcentral. Lineage: Bacteria; Pseudomonadati; Pseudomonadota; Alphaproteobacteria; Candidatus Pelagibacterales; Candidatus Pelagibacteraceae.
CUGGCGGCACGCCUAACACAUGCAAGUCGAACGAAGUAGCAAUACUUAGUGGCAGACGGGUGAGUAACAUGUAGGUAUCUGCCCUUUGGCCUGGAAUAACACGAGGAAACUUGUGCUAAUACUGGAUAAGUCUUUACGGAGAAAGCUUUAUGCACCAUUGGAUGAGCCUGCACUUGAUUAGUUUGUUGGUGGGGUAAUGGCCUACCAAGACUGUGAUCAAUAGCUGAUUUGAGAGGAUGAUCAGCCACAUUGGGACUGAGACACGGCCCAAACUCCUACGGGAGGCAGCAGUGGGGAAUCUUGCACAAUGGAGGAAACUCUGAUGCAGCGAUGCCGCGUGAGUGAAGAAGGCCUUUGGGUUGUAAAGCUCUUUCGUCGGGGAAGAAAAUGACUGUACCCGAAUAAGAAGGUCCGGCUAACUUCGUGCCAGCAGCCGCGGUAAUACGAAGGGACCUAGCGUAGUUCGGAAUUACUGGGCUUAAAGAGUUCGUAGGUGGUUGAAAUAGUUGGUGGUGAAAUCCCAGAGCUUAACUCUGGAACUGCCAUCAAAACUUUUCAGCUAGAGUAUGAUAGAGGAAAGCAGAAUUUCUAGUGUAGAGGUGAAAUUCGUAGAUAUUAGAAAGAAUACCAAUUGCGAAGGCAGCUUUCUGGAUCAUUACUGACACUGAGGAACGAAAGCAUGGGUAGCGAAGAGGAUUAGAUACCCUCGUAGUCCAUGCCGUAAACGAUGUGUGUUAGACGUUGGAAAUUUAUUUUCAGUGUCGCAGCGAAAGCGAUAAACACACCGCCUGGGGAGUACGACCGC